RNAcentral lists this ribosomal RNA (255 nucleotides) under uncultured archaeon. RNAcentral's name for it is "partial 16S ribosomal RNA". It matches the Rfam family "Archaeal small subunit ribosomal RNA", at positions 728 to 982 of the family's 1478-position model. The record is from RNAcentral.
AUUAGAUACCCGCGUAGUCCUAGCCGUAAACGAUACUCGCUAGGUGUCGGCCACGGUGCGACCGUUGUCGGUGCCGUAGGGAAGCCGUGAAGCGAGCCACCUGGGAAGUACGGCCGCAAGGCUGAAACUUAAAGGAAUUGGCGGGGGAGCACAACAACGGGUGGAGCUUGCGGUUUAAUUGGAUUCAACGCCGGAAAUCUUACCGGGACCGACAGCAACAUGAAGGCCAAGCUGAAGACUUUGCCGGAUUAGCUG